GACGAACGCUGGCGGCGUGCUUAACACAUGCAAGUCGAACGGAAAGGCCCUGCUUUUGUGGGGUGCUCGAGUGGCGAACGGGUGAGUAACACGUGAGUAACCUGCCCUUGACUUUGGGAUAACUUCAGGAAACUGGGGCUAAUACCGGAUAGGAGCUCCUGCUGCAUGGUGGGGGUUGGAAAGUUUCGGCGGUUGGGGAUGGACUCGCGGCUUAUCAGCUUGUUGGUGGGGUAGUGGCUUACCAAGGCUUUGACGGGUAGCCGGCCUGGGAGGGUGACCGGCCAAAUUGGGACUGAGAUGCGGCACGGACCCCUCCGGGAGGGAGCGGUGGAGAAUGGUGCAUAAUGGGCGGAAGCCUGAUGCAGCAACGCCGCGUGGGGGAUGACGGCCUGCGGGUUGUAUACCGCUUUCGCCUGUGACGAAGCGUGAAUGACGGUAAUGGGUAAAGAAGCACCGGCUAACUACGUG
Molecule: ribosomal RNA, 468 nt
Filed under: uncultured bacterium
Lineage: Bacteria
Description: partial 16S ribosomal RNA
Rfam family: Bacterial small subunit ribosomal RNA
Source: RNAcentral